ACCCGAGUGGCGAAAUGGUUACCGCGUCUGCCUUCUAAGCAGAAGACUGAGGGUUCGAGUCCCUCCUUGGGUU
This 73-nucleotide transfer RNA is filed under the name Kwoniella heveanensis CBS 569. RNAcentral's name for it is "tRNA-Arg (TCT) (tRNA-Arg-TCT-1-1)". It matches the Rfam family "tRNA". From Rfam's summary of the family: Transfer RNA (tRNA) molecules are approximately 80 nucleotides in length. Their secondary structure includes four short double-helical elements and three loops (D, anti-codon, and T loops). Lineage: Eukaryota; Fungi; Basidiomycota; Tremellomycetes; Tremellales; Cryptococcaceae. The record is from RNAcentral.